This is a long non-coding RNA of Paramormyrops kingsleyae, 618 nucleotides long. RefSeq lists it as uncharacterized. NCBI's taxonomy places the organism in Eukaryota, Metazoa, Chordata, Actinopteri, Osteoglossiformes, Mormyridae. The record is from RefSeq and is a predicted model, not a curated record.
AGUUUACUGGGCUCCUGACCCCGUUAAGCCAUUUUAAUAUACGAUGUUUAUUCUCAGGGCACAGAAGAAAAAGAAAAUUAUGCAGGCAAAUGCGAUUCUGGGACAUGACACUUAACGGGAUGGAAUGUCGUGGUACCAUUAAGAGCAUAACUGAACCUGAUACAGGGGGCACCUGCUAGGUGAAGGUCAGGUGGAUGGGGUCUAUGCGUGAGCUCAGGGCACUGGAGCUUGCGUCAUGCAUGAAUCACGCAGGUCUCCUGGUGCUGGAUUCAAUGAGCUGGAGCAGCAGGACAGAGUGCCCCACAGUACUCCGGGGGUUUAUCCCGGGUGUCGGACGGACAACAGGCCUGGAGACCACGGUGACGCACCAAGCGUGACAGGUUGGCGUGGCCUUCACACACAGCGGGAUGUUUCGGGGCCCGGCGGUUCAAAGGGGGCCCACCGCUGAUCUCCAGCUCCAGCCCAAAGGAGUGUCGUGACUCUCUCCAGUGACACUUGCACCUGGCUUCCCCACUGAGGUCACUGUGAGGUUCCCUGCAUGUGUUACGUCACUAAUGAAGCGCCUGCUUAAUGGGUCCUGGGUCUCCUGCCACAUUCGUCUCUGUUUGGGAGGGGUCG